This 496-nucleotide ribosomal RNA is filed under the name Klebsiella pneumoniae. RNAcentral's name for it is "partial 23S ribosomal RNA". It matches the Rfam family "Bacterial large subunit ribosomal RNA", at positions 419 to 919 of the family's 2925-position model. The record is from RNAcentral. Lineage: Bacteria; Pseudomonadati; Pseudomonadota; Gammaproteobacteria; Enterobacterales; Enterobacteriaceae.
GGGACACGUGGUAUCCUGUCUGAAUAUGGGGGGACCAUCCUCCAAGGCUAAAUACUCCUGACUGACCGAUAGUGAACCAGUACCGUGAGGGAAAGGCGAAAAGAACCCCGGCGAGGGGAGUGAAAAAGAACCUGAAACCGUGUACGUACAAGCAGUGGGAGCACCUUCGGGUGUGACUGCGUACCUUUUGUAUAAUGGGUCAGCGACUUAUAUUCUGUAGCAAGGUUAACCGUAUAGGGGAGCCGCAGGGAAACCGAGUCUUAACUGGGCGUUAAGUUGCAGGGUAUAGACCCGAAACCCGGUGAUCUAGCCAUGGGCAGGUUGAAGGUUGGGUAACACUAACUGGAGGACCGAACCGACUAAUGUUGAAAAAUUAGCGGAUGACUUGUGGCUGGGGGUGAAAGGCCAAUCAAACCGGGAGAUAGCUGGUUCUCCCCGAAAGCUAUUUAGGUAGCGCCUCGUGAAUUCAUCUUCGGGGGUAGAGCACUGUUUCGGC